GACGAACGCUGGCGGCGUGCCUAACACAUGCAAGUCGAGCGGUCCGGCACUCAACUAAGUGCUUACUUAAGGGGAAGGAAGUAUAGUAGAAGAAGAAGGUAAUAAAAGUGAUGCAAAGUAAGGUAAGCGCGGAGUUGAGUGCCGGAUAGCGGCGGACGGGUGAGUAACGCGUGGGCAACCUACCCUUAAGACCGGGAUAACACCUCGAAAGGGGUGCUAAUACUGGAUAAGCUCCUUGUAGGGCAUCCUAUGGGGAGGGAAGGUAGCGGAAGCUACCGCUUAAGGAUGGGCCCGCGUCCCAUCAGCUAGUUGGUAGGGUAACGGCCUACCAAGGCGACGACGGGUAGCCGGCCUGAGAGGGUGGUCGGCCACACUGGGACUGAGACACGGCCCAGACUCCUACGGGAGGCAGCAGUGGGGAAUCGUUGCGCAAUGGGCGAAAGCCUGACGCAGCGACGCCGCGUGAGCGAAGAAGGC
RNAcentral lists this ribosomal RNA (477 nucleotides) under bacterium enrichment culture clone TC60a_11530. RNAcentral's name for it is "bacterial SSU rRNA". It matches the Rfam family "Bacterial small subunit ribosomal RNA", at positions 28 to 415 of the family's 1533-position model. The record is from RNAcentral.